Molecule: ribosomal RNA, 514 nt
Filed under: uncultured bacterium
Lineage: Bacteria
Description: partial 16S ribosomal RNA
Rfam family: Bacterial small subunit ribosomal RNA
Source: RNAcentral
GAUGAACGCUGGCGGCGUGCCUAAUACAUGCAAGUCGAGCGAAUGGAUUAAGAGCUUGCUCUUAUGAAGUUAGCGGCGGACGGGUGAGUAACACGUGGGUAACCUGCCCAUAAGACUGGGAUAACUCCGGGAAACCGGGCUAAUACCGGAUAACAUUUUGAACCGCAUGGUUCGAAAUUGAAAGGCGGCUUCGGCUGUCACUUAAGGAUGGACCCGCGUCGCAUUAGCUAGUUGGUGAGGUAACGGCUCACCAAGGCAACGAUGCGUAGCCGACCUGAUAGCGUGAUGGGCCACACUGCGACUGGAGCACGGCCCAGCACCCUACGGGAGGCAGCAGUAGGGAAUCUUCCGCAAUGACCGAAAGUGUGACGGAGCAACGCCGCGUGAGUGAUGGAGGCUUUCGGGUCGUAUAACUCUGUUGUUAGGGAAGAACAAGUGCUAGUUGAAUAAGCUGGCACCUUGACGGUACCUAACCAGAAAGCCACGGCUAACUACGUGCCAGCCGCCGCCGUAA